UCAUCUACCUGGCAGGUGGUUCACCCAGAGCCAGAAUCAGCCAUUGCACCGAGGCUGUGCUGACCCCUGCCAUUUCCCCAAAUGUGGAAUCACGACUGCAUAAUUUCUGCUGGUGGGGGACUGUGCUAGCAAACUCCCCUA
This 141-nucleotide small nuclear RNA is filed under the name Salarias fasciatus (jewelled blenny). RNAcentral describes it as "U1 spliceosomal RNA (ENSSFAG00005014320.1)". It matches the Rfam family "U1 spliceosomal RNA". Rfam says of the family: U1 is a small nuclear RNA (snRNA) component of the spliceosome (involved in pre-mRNA splicing). Its 5' end forms complementary base pairs with the 5' splice junction, thus defining the 5' donor site of an intron. Lineage: Eukaryota; Metazoa; Chordata; Actinopteri; Blenniiformes; Blenniidae. The record is from Rfam by way of RNAcentral.